UGAAAUUGUUAUUAGUACUUACAAUGCUUUACUACAAUUCAUUGAUUUAGGAAAUUGAAUUGGCAGCAGUUGGUGCAGAUCAGCAAAAGAUUUCUGGAGCAGUUUGCAGCUUUUCUGCCACUCUCUGAGAAUUCAUGGAUGAGUUGAACUUGAACCCAUUUG
Prunus avium (sweet cherry) is the source of this 162-nucleotide non-coding RNA. Lineage: Eukaryota; Viridiplantae; Streptophyta; Magnoliopsida; Rosales; Rosaceae. The record is from RefSeq and is a predicted model, not a curated record.